AACGCGAAGAACCUUACCUGGGCUCGAAGCACAGUGGACCGGGGUAGAAAUACCCCUUUUCGCAAGAACUGCUGUGGAGGUGCUGCAUGGCUGUCGUCAGCUCGUGUCGUGAGAUGUUGGGUUAAGUCCCGCAACGAGCGCAACCCUUAUCGUUAGUUGCCAGCGGGUCAAGCCGGGCACUCUAGCGAAACCGCCUCGGAUAACGGGGAGGAAGGUGGGGAUGACGUCAAGUCCUCAUGGCCUUUAUGUCCAGGGCUACACACGUGCUACAAUGGCCGGUACAAACCGUCGCAAACCCGCGAGGGGGAGCUAAUCGGAAAAAGCCGGCCUCAGUUCGGAUUGGAGUCUGCAACUCGACUCCAUGAAGCUGGAAUCGCUAGUAAUCGCGGAUCAGCACGCCGCGGUGAAUACGUUCCCGGGCCUUGUA
This 427-nucleotide ribosomal RNA is filed under the name uncultured Acidobacterium sp. RNAcentral describes it as "bacterial SSU rRNA". It matches the Rfam family "Bacterial small subunit ribosomal RNA", at positions 958 to 1385 of the family's 1533-position model. The record is from RNAcentral. Lineage: Bacteria; Pseudomonadati; Acidobacteriota; Terriglobia; Terriglobales; Acidobacteriaceae.